RNAcentral lists this ribosomal RNA (407 nucleotides) under uncultured bacterium. RNAcentral's name for it is "bacterial SSU rRNA". It matches the Rfam family "Bacterial small subunit ribosomal RNA", at positions 355 to 776 of the family's 1533-position model. The record is from RNAcentral.
UGGGGAAUAUUGGGCAAUGGGCGCAAGCCUGACCCAGCAAUGCCGCGUGAAGGAAGAAGGCCCUCUGUUUGUAAACUUCUUUUAUCAUGGACGAAGGAUGUGACGGUACCUGAUGAAUAAGCUCCGGCUAACUACGUGCCAGCAGCCGCGGUAAUACGUAGGGAGCAAGCGUUAUCCGGAUUUACUGGGUGUAAAGGGCGCGUAGGCGGGAUGGCAAGUCAGAUGUGAAAUCUAUGGGCUUAACCCAUAAACUGCAUUUGAAACUGUCGUUCUUGAGUACUGGAGAGGUUGACGGAAUUCCUAGUGUAGCGGUGAAAUGCGUAGAUAUUAGGAGGAACACCAGUGGCGAAGGCGGUAAACUGGACAGCAACUGACGCUGAGGCGCGAAAGCGUGGGGAGCAAACAGG